GUUUUGCAUCGGAUAGUUGCUCCGACCCAGGUCGGAGAGGAAAGUCCGAACACGUACAUAAUUUUUUGUGUAAGAGGGUAGUGGGUAAUACCCAUCCUCCGACCUUGGUCGGAGAGGGAUGCGAGCAGAGACGAUUAUUUUCGAGAGAAAAUAAUCGCCCCGAGAGUAAUCGAGGGGCGUAGUUCUACAGUAAUGUAGAAAGUGAAACGGCAAAAUUCCUAUCUACGUGCAAGGCCGUACUCCCCGCCAACAUCUGCAAAGUUGUGGCGGGGAGGGUGCCGCUUCAGGUCAGUGGUAACAUUGAUCGCAGAUAAAUAACUAUCGCUAUCUUGUCUACGACAAGAUCACGGAUUUACGCAGAUAAAAAUACACGCAGAUUUUCGCAGAUGAAUUUCAUCCGCGUUGAUCAGCGUCAGAUCAGCGUUGAUCAGUGUUCUCGCCGUAGGCGAGAUGGUACAGAAUUCGGCUUAUAGAUGCAAAACAAAG
This 486-nucleotide RNase P RNA is filed under the name Candidatus Nomurabacteria bacterium RIFCSPHIGHO2_01_FULL_42_16. RNAcentral describes it as "RNase P RNA component class A". It matches the Rfam family "Bacterial RNase P class A". Rfam says of the family: Ribonuclease P (RNase P) is a ubiquitous endoribonuclease, found in archaea, bacteria and eukarya as well as chloroplasts and mitochondria. Its best characterised activity is the generation of mature 5'-ends of tRNAs by cleaving the 5'-leader elements of precursor-tRNAs. The record is from RNAcentral. RNAcentral also lists the same sequence under 1 other name. Lineage: Bacteria; Candidatus Nomuraibacteriota.